Molecule: ribosomal RNA, 1391 nt
Filed under: uncultured bacterium
Lineage: Bacteria
Description: 16S ribosomal RNA
Rfam family: Bacterial small subunit ribosomal RNA
Source: RNAcentral
AGAGUUUGAUCCUGGCUCAGGAUGAACGCUAGCGGCAGGCUUUACACAUGCAAGUCGAGGGGCAGCAUGUCCAGCAAUGGAUGAUGGCGACCGGCGGAAGGGUGCGUAACGCGUGAGCAACAUGCCCUAUACAGGGAGAUACACCAGGGAAACUUGGUCUAAUAUCCCAUAGCAUUCAUUGAAGGCAUCUUUAAUGAAUUAAAGCUUCGGUGGUAUAGGAUUGGCUCGCGUGACAUUAGCCAGAUGGUGAGGUAACGGCUCACCAUAGCAAUGAUGUCUAGGGGUUUUGAGAGGAAGGCCCCCCACACUGGGACUGAGACACGGCCCAGACUCCUACGGGAGGCAGCAGUGAGGAAUAUUGGACAAUGGAUGGAAAUCUGAUCCAGCCAUGCCGCGUGCAGGAAGACGGCCUUAUGGGUUGUAAACUGCUUUUAUACGGGAGCAAUAAGGGUUACGAGUAAUCCGAUGAGAGUACUGUAUGAAUAAGGAUCGGCUAACUCCGUGCCAGCAGCCGCGGUAAUACGGAGGAUCCGAGCGUUAUCCGGAAUUAUUGGGUUUAAAGGGUGCGUAGGCGGCCAUUUAAGUCAGCGGUGAAAUUUUGCAGCUUAACUGUAACAGUGCCGUUGAUACUGUUUGGCUAGGAUUUGGUUGUAGUGUGCGGAAUGUGUGGUGUAGCGGUGAAAUGCUUAGAUAUCACACGGAACACCGAUUGCGAAGGCAGCACACUAAGUCAUUAUUGACGCUGAGGCACGAAAGUGUGGGGAUCAAACAGGAUUAGAUACCCUGGUAGUCCACACUGUAAACGAUGAUAACUCGCUGUCGGCGAUACACUGCAAGGGAGGGAGCGAAAGCAUUAAGUUAUCCACCUGGGGAGUACGACCGCAAGGUUGAAACUCAAAGGAAUAGGCGGGGGCCCGCACAAGCGGAGGAACAUGUGGUUUAAUUCGAUGAUACGCGAGGAACCUUACCUGGGCUUAAAUGCAGGAUGCAUGCUGUGGAAACACACUUCCCUUCGGGGCUUCCUGCAAGGUGCUGCAUGGUUGUCGUCAGCUCGUGCCGUGAGGUGUCGGGUUAAGUCCCAUAACGAGCGCAACCCUUACCGUUAGUUGCCAUCGGGUCAAGCUGGGGACUCUAUCGAGACUGCCGGUGUAAACCGUGAGGAAGGUGGGGAUGACGUCAAAUCAGCACGGCCCUUACGUCCAGGGCUACACACGUGUUACAAUGGUCGGUACAAUGGGCAGCUACUCAGCGAUGAGAUGCUAAUCUUCAAAACCGAUCUCAGUUCGGAUCGGAGUCUGCAACUCGACUCCGUGAAGCUGGAUUCGCUAGUAAUCGCAUAUCAGCCAUGAUGCGGUGAAUACGUUCCCGGGCCUUGCACACACCGCCCGUCA